CAGACGGGUGAGUAACACGUGGGAACAUACCCUUCGGUUCGGGAUAACUCAGGGAAACUUGAGCUAAUACCGGAUACGUCCGCGAGGAGAAAGAUUCAUCGCCGGAGGAUUGGCCCGCGUCUGAUUAGCUUGUUGGUGAGGUAAUGGCUCACCAAGGCGACGAUCAGUAGCUGGUCUGAGAGGAUGAUCAGCCACAUUGGGACUGAGACACAGCCCAA
This 218-nucleotide ribosomal RNA is filed under the name uncultured bacterium. Its description in RNAcentral is "partial 16S ribosomal RNA". It matches the Rfam family "Bacterial small subunit ribosomal RNA", at positions 99 to 334 of the family's 1533-position model. The record is from RNAcentral.